Panicum hallii is the source of this 108-nucleotide small nucleolar RNA. The record is from RefSeq and is a predicted model, not a curated record. NCBI's taxonomy places the organism in Eukaryota, Viridiplantae, Streptophyta, Magnoliopsida, Poales, Poaceae.
AUUCCAUGAUGAGGACAGGUGAGGAUGCACUCUUGUAGCCUCUCCCAAGCUUCCAAGAUUAACUCCAUUCCUGUCUGCUGGAAACUUGACAUCUUUCCACGUAGGGCU